GGAGGCGUGCAGGCGCCUGGUGGCCCUCCCGGUCUUCAAAACCGGUGCAGCCAAGCACCUCGGCUGGGCGGGUUCGAUUCCCGUCCGCCUCCGCCA
Molecule: transfer RNA, 96 nt
Filed under: Pedococcus bigeumensis
Lineage: Bacteria; Bacillati; Actinomycetota; Actinomycetes; Micrococcales; Intrasporangiaceae
Description: Phycicoccus bigeumensis tRNA-Sec
Rfam family: Selenocysteine transfer RNA
Source: RNAcentral